Molecule: long non-coding RNA, 3427 nt
Organism: Peromyscus eremicus (cactus mouse)
Lineage: Eukaryota; Metazoa; Chordata; Mammalia; Rodentia; Cricetidae
Exons: 2
Source: RefSeq, a predicted model, not a curated record
UGAGAACAUUUAAUAAUUACCUUUUUUCAUUACAUAUAAUUGUGUUAUUCAUUUCAUAAAAUGACAUUUAAGAGAAAUUGUGAAAGCUACAAUUAUGUAAUUAUUUCUGCUAAGUUACUGAUGUUUGCAAGGCUUGUAAAAUUCAGACUUGCUCCAGGUUUUAAGUUUCUGCUGAACCUGUACAAAAUUAUCCAUAUUCGUUUUAGUUCCUCUCUUGUCUCCUGUUAACCUGUGAUGUGUUUAAAACUGUGACGUGAUGCUUGCUCCUUGUGGCACUCCAUCCUUAAAGCCCAUAACCCAGUAUCUGACAUGUGACAGACAUUCACCAUUUACAUCUGUGUUGUCUGCAGUCAUUAAAUAAAACUAAAGUGCAGCAUUCAGGAAAGUGGGACUGACUGGAUAUUGACUUUAACCACAGAUGGGCUUAUAGGCUCAAAUAAUUGUCAACUACUGUGUCCUUUUGACUUUUCUGUGAUUCUGUUUUUCUUCACUUCAAGAAGGUUGGCUGUGGAGACGCCAACAGUGGAGACACAGACUGCCUCUGCUCACAGAGUUCUCCCCUCUAAUCUACUUCUGUAGUAGACUUUCCCAAUGUCCUACCCCCCAUCUCCUCUUGUACACAUUGCUCCUACACAUGCCUGUGGUUUCCUACUACCAACAUCUGAAAUGUCUCUGCCUGGAGACUUUCUCUUGGAUUUAGAGGAGGAAGAAACUGCAAAUGUGGAGAGAUAACUCUCCGCUGGACCAUUCUUCAGUUUAGAGGUAGAUUUUCUAACUUUAUUCCAAAUUCCCAAGAGAAUGGGCCCCAGAUUCCCAGAGCACCAGCUGUCUCAUUUAAUACAUUCUUGUCCGACUCCCUUUCUUAGAUGGAUUAUGGCUCUAUCCCCAAACAUGCUCCUUUGGAGUUCCGUGUAAACUGCUUUCCCUGGAGUUCUCUCAUGGGGAUAUAAUUUAACAGAGCUUCUCUGAAAGAGAGUAUGAUCCCUCCAGUAGAUACUUCUAGAGCAUAUUUAGGAUACUCUGAUAGCUUGUCCCGUGCCACAAGAAUUCAUUUUUGCUAAGAGAAUUAGCAUGUAUAGUUUUUACAUAUAUGAAAUGUGUACUAUGCAAUAACUUACACACAUGAAGCAUAAAAAUGACACAUUUUUACAUGAGUUGGAUGUAUCUUAAAUUUUUUUCAACAAUUCAUUUUGAAAAAAAAGACUAAAAGCAAAUCCAAUUCUAAUGUUUAUAAGAAAUUAAAGUUAUUCUAAGAAUAAAACUAUAUGACCUUGAUAAAAAUCAGAAACAAUGGGUAAAGUACAAAUCGGCUGCACAUUUAAAUUCUAGUGAAUUUCAAAACAUACUACACUAAGCAUUUUUGUUUCUAUAUAUAAUAGCUUGGUGGAAAGCACUCUGAAGACAUCAGUAGGAGAUGCUAAAUAAGUUCAAGUUCACCCCUGAAAGACUUCAACACUACUUUAUUAGAGACUUGUGAGAAUAUAUUUGGAAGGCAAUUCAUAUUCAGUAGUAGAAGAAAGAACUAGUUCUCCUGACACUUAGUGUAAUAAGUAGAAAAGUCCUCCUAGCUAACCAGGUAGAUAUAUGAAGAUGUUCUGAUUAAAAGUUGUAUACAUGCCUUACAUCUAUCAGGUCACACAGAUUGUCACGUUCUAGACAUUGACCAAGUCAAAAUAUAGCAGAGUUAAGGGGAUUUCAUCACCCAUUUAAUAAGAGGACACAUUCAAGUAGGCCUCAGUGUGAGUAGGUAAACUACAUUCUAGUUGGUUAGUACAGGGAUAUAUCACCCCUCUGGCUGAAUAGUGUUGAAAUAAAAGCAAAAUAAAAGAUAUUUAAAUACAAAGCAUGACAUAUGCGAAAUACAGCCUGUUGAUACUCCUUGAUCUACUUAACUGUUUCCUGAGUCACAGGGAACAUUUUCACAGCCUUUCAUGGACUUAUGAUGCUGCAGCUCUCUAGCAGCUCAUGCUUUCUUCUCAUUGGGGGAGAGAUCCCAAAGGUGAUGCCUGGGUGGUUUGGGCCAAUAUAGACACCAAUGUUGUGACUCCUUGAAGAAGGAUUGCCAACAUUUUCUUAGUGAAUUCAAACUAAUGUGAAAGACAGAAGAAGAUACAAAAUAAAUACAAGAUAUUUCUUUUGGUUUUAAGACUUCAUAUAGAGAGUGAAGUCAUGAUUGGUUGCAUUUUCAACUUUAGAAGUUGAAACACAAGUGAUUCUUUGCCACAGAUCUCCAGGCCAAGACUACUGGGAUGUCAGGACAGUUAUGAUCAAAAAGCAGAUUUGAAGAAUUUCAGAUUUGCUGUUGACUUUCCAAAUGUUCAUUUCACAUGGUCACUGCUGGAGUAAAUAUAAAACAUGAGAGGAAGAAGUCAAGGCAUCGAAGAGAAGGGGAAAGAUGGAGGGAGGAAAAAAGGGAGGGGGAAGGGAGGAAGAAACUGGAGAGAGAUAAACUGAUUUCAUUCUCCUGAAAUGGCUGAGCCAAGCACUGUCAUGAGACUCUAUAGGGAUGGAGGAAAUGCCCAUGUUGAACUAGUAAUAUAAUUUGGCUGGAGCUCAUCUGCAGCAUCAUUUGGAAAAGAACCUUUAAUAUUCUUCUUAAUCCUUAUAUUCUUUGACUGUGUGUUCUUCCAAAAAUAAUUCCUAUUCUUUUAUAGACGAGAAAGAAUAUAAAAUGAAACUAUUCCACGGAGCUAUCCAGUCAAAUUAUUCACAUCAGAGGCUGUCCUGGGAACAUGUGCUUAAUGUUCUGUGCUUCCUGAGGAAAUGAGAAAUACCACAGAUUUAUAUUAGGGGGCUUUUAGGGAGAAAGGUUGUAAGUGCAACCAAUCAUGACUUCGCUCUCUACAUGAAGUAUUAAAAUCAAAACCAACUAUGAUGACCUUCAGAACAAGCUAGAACAGAGUGGAGGUGGUUUUCUGAAAUCAGAGAUGGUAAGAAACCCAAGCCUCUUUGCCAGAGUUCUGUUGAACGUUUAGCACAUAUUCAAAAUACAAUUUAAACUAACUUCUGAAUCUUUGCAAACAACAAUUCACAAGAAAAAUCUGGUAUUUACUUUGUAUCUUCUUCUGUCUUUCACAAGUGUGUCAUAGAUACUGGAAAGAUGAUCUUUGAAGGGCUUUGAGAAGAUCUGAGUAAGAGCACAGAACCACUCUACAGGUGUUACAUUGCUAUUUAUCUGUGCUGGAAGACCCAACUCAUGCAUAAACAAAAAUUCCUAGCAGUAACAACAAAAACACAUUUGCCUUGGAAAAGCACUUCAUGUUUUGUUUGCAAAGUCAAGAUUGCCUGUUAUAUAUUUCUGAAGUGGCACCCAUCACUCUUCUCAUCGAGUAGAAGCUGGUCCCAUCUAGUGCCUUUACCCAGGGAUCCUGAUGAGGAGCUAGAACACAGGACUUCAGUGACAGUCCAAAACACCAUUUCAAUUCUG